CAGCUGCCGGGUCCCAACUCGCCUGUGGUUUGCUAGCUCCGGCGAAGGGGAAAGCCCCGGGACUACAGACUCCAACAGUCAGGAAGCUGCAGCGCCGUCCUCCCCUUGUCUCUAGCCCGCAGCUAGCAGUUUCAGUGGAGUCUGGAACUGGGGAGGGGGAAAGCGGGAGCCCAAUAUUGCGCUGCAUUAGUGACAUCAGCUAGCAAGCAGUUACUGACGUUCAAGCCAAGGUUCAUUGACACUCAGCAUUAGGGAGUUAACUAGUUAUAGGCCCGUAGUAUGCUUUCUGGGAGCAAGGGGAACUACCCUGUGCUCCUUACAAUUCAGUUCUCACAUAGCCUUCGUAGGUGGCUAAACUAUUGUAUCUUUAGAGAAGUGGAAACUUAUUUUGUGCUGAGAAACCAGAAUUACUUAAUAAUGUUUUCUACCGUUGUUCCCAUAGUUUUUGCUUACUUCAAGAGUUCUGAGUGAGGCUUUUUGGCUGGAGGUGGACGGGGAUGGAGCAGAGGGGGAAUAUAACUGCCCACAAACUGGAGGACUUCCCUCCCUCUUCCAGGGUCGGACAGGAAAAUUGGCUUCGGAUCACCCUUGGCAGCAAGCCCUCCCUCAUGGAGUUCUGCACGGAUCGCUAGGUUUCCACCGACAAACUGAACACGGAGGCAACGGGGGCAGAUGGAAAUCGAGUCUUGGCUUUAUGAGCGCCUUGAAGCGCUCUCCGAUUCAAAAGCUCAUUAAAAACUGAGGGCUGGAUUUCUAUGGCGCUGGGCCUCGGCUGUAAUCCCUGAAUUGGCUUAUAUGCGUUACUCCCCCAGGGCUGACGAAUGUCUCUGCAGGAAGUCUCAGCACGGAAACCAAGGACUACAAAGACAGAAGUCUACCCUUUUACACUGGGCUGCUGUUAUUGCUUUCGGCUGCUUUGUGCUUUCCCUGGAGGGAGAGGAGAAUCAGGCAGUGAGUUUUAUUCCUCUUUACUCUUGCUGGCAAAGGAGGUGGUGGCAUUCAGGUAGCGGCAUGACUAGACCAGUAUAAGUGUGCAAGUGGAGCUCUGAUUAGUUUUGGAGUAGAGAAAAUUCCUAGUCCUCUCAGCUCCCGAGCCAAAGGACAGAGGCUGGGGAGUAGAUAGAAUGACACAAAAUACUAUUAAUAUUUCUGAGAUCUUUAACACAUAUCAGUAAAGUUUUGGAUCGCCUGGGCUUGCUUCAAAUUAGGAAUUUAAUUCAACAGGUAUUUGAGUGCUGGGCACAUUGAGGGGGACACAAUAGAAUUAUAUGAUAUGGUUUAAUCCUUCAAGGAGUUUAUAAUGAAACACAACAUGCAUAUAAAUCAUAUUUUUGUUGUUGUUGUUCAGUGGUUUUCAG
RNAcentral lists this long non-coding RNA (1358 nucleotides) under Phascolarctos cinereus (koala). RNAcentral's name for it is "lncRNA (ENSPCIG00000034228.1)". The record is from RNAcentral. Lineage: Eukaryota; Metazoa; Chordata; Mammalia; Diprotodontia; Phascolarctidae.